UCAUAAUCUUCCAUCCAUAAUCAAUCUUUCAAUAACUUUUCAUAUAAUUCAAUCACUCAGUACUCCAAUUACAUAAUCAAUAAUUCAUAAAUCAAUCUCUGAUUUAUUCCACAGACUCACUUCUCAGUAUUCAGAAACUAUCCAUUAUUCUUCAACAAUAAAGAAAAUAAAAAAAAAACAAAGAAGAAGCACCAAGCUUAACCUCGACUCAUGACUAUUAUAGUUUGGCAUUUUCUUCCUCUCUCUCAUCCUCCUUAUACUACCUCGAGAUACCAACUCCUACACUAUGGAUGAUAACUACUUUUCAUGACUAUUCAUCCAUUCUACUUGUUGAACCACCUUUCUAGCAGUUAUCUAUCCCUGUUUACACUAUACACUAGAUAUCUACAUUCUGAAAAUAACUACUUAUUUUACAUACCUCCACUCCUAACUAUGCAACGUCUCCACAAAUACAGUAUUGAUAAACUAAAACCAUUUUUUAUUUUUUUUUAUUUUUUUAUUUUUUUUAACCGGAUUAUUCAAUCUCUUCAAUUUCUGGCGCUGGCUCCAUUUGGUCUUGUUCCAAUACUAUAUCUUCUUUCUUCGACUCGUCUUGAAUCUUUACUCUUAAUUGAGCUAUUAAAUCUUCAUUAUACGCUCCCAAUUCUUGAACCUGAGCUUCCAAUUGGAGUAUUCUGGCAUCUUUAGCUUCCAGUUGUUGUUGCUGUUGUUGCAAUUUCUCUUUUAAUUUUUUAAUUCUUACUCUCGUUGAGGUAGAUGUCUGUGACUGACCAAUACUGAUCAAAUCACUCUCCAAUUUUGUUACUAUUUCCUUCAAAAUAAUAAUUUCUGUAUAUAGCUCAUCCGUUUUGUUUCGAUAUUGGUCAUCCAAUUGUUUCUUUUUAAGCUCCAAUGCCUCCUUCUUCUCUCGUUCCAUCUUCAAUUGAGCGUUCAUCUUUUCCUGUUCCAAUCUAUAUGAUUUACAAAUUUGUAGUAAUUCUAGCCUUUGAUUUUUCAAGUUAUGUUGAAUUCUUUGUUUCUCCUUUUACUAGUUUUCCACUCUCUCAUCCAAUCCAUCCUUCACUCGCAUCUUGGAUUCUGAUUCUACCUUGAUGACUUGUUCAUGUUCUCUGAUUUUAUAAUUUUACUCCAAUAUUGUUUUCUUGCUCGCUUCCACUUGUCUUUUUAAGCUACCUUCAUCUUCGAGCUUACUCAUCGUAAGUUGCAGUUGGAAAAUUUGAUCCAAUAUAACUUUCUUAAGAUUCUACCCUUCCGUUACACCCCGUUGAAAUCCUAAUUGGUUGCUUUCCUUUGGAACUGGUAUUGGUGUUGUCAUCUCUAUUAUUGGCCGAAUUGGAACUCACUUUAGUGUAGAUAUUGGUCUUGCUUUUCGUUGUCAUAUUAUAAAUACUUACAGUAUGUAAAAAUAAGUUAAAACAUAUUAUAUGUUGAUAAAUCUAGAUGUAUGUUAGAGUGGCUAGUAGAUUAAAUUAAAAGGAGUUGGAAUAAAAAACUUUACUUUGUUUCUUUAUUUCUUUUGAUUUUGACAUUAAAUAUAUAUAUAUAUAUAUAUAUAUAGGACCUAAAUGUUUAGUAUAAAGCCUUGGGAGAAGGUAGAAGCCUAAAGAUGAAGAUUUAAACUAAUAGGAGGUUAAUUGAGAGGGAUGAAACCAAAGCAUGGUUGGAUGAAGGUAGAAAUAAGGAUCUUCAUCCCCAUUGGUCGAAAUCCAUGUCCAAUGGACUUUUAGGAGGCUGCCCGCGACCUUGAUAAGGGUUUCGGCGACUUAAAAGAGGUCAUUAGGAAAUCAAAGGCAAGGGUUGUAAAGUUUAGGAUCUUGGCUACAAUUUUUGUGCAAAUUUUAUAGGGUUUGGAGUUAGGGUGAAUAAGUUAUAGCCGUUUGAAGUUAAGGUGUCAAUUUGAGACCUACUGUUACUCUAUUGAGUUUAAGAGGAGUCUUACGGAAGCUUUUGGAGAUCGGUAGGUGCGGCUGGAAGAGCAACUUCGAGACAUACAUUUUAUGUGAAGAAAAUUUUGCAUUUGGAGUUUAUGUGAAGGAGUUAUAGGGAGUUAAAGACAACGCAUUCAAAUCAAAGGCAGUAAGUGAGUGGUUUUGUUCAAAGUAGUGUUAGGAGCCAUAACUUGAGUUUUCGAACGAAAUUUUGGCUCAAACUUUGGAAGAAUGUAAACAUUUGUGUUAAGAAGCUAUCUAUAUAAGUUUCAUGGCAUUUGCACGUACGGUUUGUGAGAUAUGAAGAAAAUUGUGCGCGGGUAUAUAAAGAAUAGGGUUUGAAGCGAUUGUUAGGGUUUUGAGGAUAUCUCAAGAUCUGCGACGAAUUUGCGGUUGAAAUUUGUUGUAAAAAUUAAUAAUAACAUAUCAGUACUUCAUGUAAAUUUUUAUCUUGUUUGGACGGUUGGAUCAAGAGUUAUGAGCUGUUGAGGUUCGGGUGAAUUUCCACAUAAGGAUAUACAAGGUUUUAGAGUACUUCUACCAUAAUUUGGGUGUUGUUGGUUAUUUAAGACUUAAGUAUUUGGUGUAAUUGUCCCAAAAGGAAAAAUUAUAAAUAUAAAAUUAGGGUUUCCUUAUUUUACACUUGAUUGAGCUAUUAGUGACAGCCAAAAGCCCAGCGCUUUCUUGAGGCAAAACCUCUCUACUCUGACACCGUUCUGCUGCUUUACUGGAUUUUUCUACUUCAUACACCAUUACCCCUAGACUAACUAUUCCCGUUUGUAAACUUAGAAUUACUGGUUGAAAUUCUUGUUUCAAUGUAUACUCAAUCACUGAGUUUACAUAAUUAGAACAUAAUAGUGAAGCAAACUUUCUUGUCUUCCACUUAGCUCCUAUUUCUGCAUGUAUCCUUAUGGCCACAUAAGCUGUCCAAUUGAAUACCAUGCCUUCCAAUGUUUCUAUCGCGGAAAACAGUAAUCACUUUGCCAUAUAGGUGGUAUGCCGAUUUAAUGCUAACCACUUCUGAACAAACCGCAUCCAUUUUAUAAGUUCGGACGUAAGUACCUCCUGGACCUUCCAUCCUUGAUUUCGCUUGAGAGACAACAUUCCUCUUUUGAAGUAGCUUCCUGGCUUGAAGUCAUUUGAUGCAUCUCGUCCCACCUCAAGCUCUCCGGUUUGUAAAUGCAAGACCUUGUGUAAGAUAUUCUCAUCUAUGCCAAUAAGGACUCCUCUUACUAUACUCGAACCAUCUUCUAGAUCAUAAUUUUCUAGAUAUUCUACUACUCGUUCUACAUCAAUUAGUGGUAGUUUAUUCGACCCUCACAAAAACGUAAAUAAAUGUGCAUUUCUAAAAUCUUUUUACCUUUUCAAUGAUUAACAGAUAUCUAACUUCAUCGGUUCCGUAUUGGUGAUAACUACAAGAGACAGCGAUUCCAAAUCGCACUUAGAAAGUCAUAUUGCGAUGAUUUUCCAAUUGUUUUGGUGCUCUCUUCACUCUUUCUAUCGACAUGACGAAAAUCAAACUCUCAAUACUUCCUCGCGCUAAUACUACUACUGAUUACUAUCGUAAAGCUUAUAGUUCAAAGCACAAUGUCUGAAAUUUACAACAAUGAAACCUUCUAUGAAUGCCCCACUCCUAACUGCUUACUUGAGGUCCGAAUCAAGAAUGUCUAAUCUAGUAUACCUUAAUCUCAAGUCUAAUCAAGAAUGUCUAAUUUCUUGACUAGUCAAUUUCAGUAUCCAAAACUAACCAUCAAUCGUUUCUUAGCUAUCAUAAUCUUUUCAAUCCUGUCGGGUAAUCAUUAUUACAGAGACUCCCUCCCGCCACUAAGUAAAUCCAUCUCGGAUUUAUAUAUAAUAUAGACGUAACCGGUUCCCAUUAACACAUGUUGUGAAGUGGAUUCUCAAAAAAUCUUCCAAUUGAACUGAAACAUUAGAAAAACCUUCUACCACCCGAUAUGGCUCAUGCCAUCAUACUUAAAAUUUAUCGAGAAAGUUGUUAAAGUGGCUAUCAUAAAGUAGCACCAGAUCAUUGGACAUAAAAUAUUUUGGCCGUAACUUACUGUCGUAUUAAUUCUUUCUACGGCACUGCAUAGCUACCAUGAUCAAGAAAGCCAUAGCCCGAGCUUCAUCCAAUUUCUCCAAUUGAACUAACCUAUAUUGAAGAGAUUCUCUGUCUUCCAUACGUUCAUCCAACGUAAUUCGUAAACUUUGGACUUCCAAUUUAAUUGAUAGAAUUACCUUCUGAUCGUAUACCAAUUGAAAUAGGAUAGAAUUAGUAGUUACUUUAUAUGUAGUACGGUAUGCCCAUAAAGCUGCAAACAAUUUAGUGUCCCAACCGGUUCCCACUCCUGAAAUAGUCUUUGUUAAGAUCUUACAUAGGAUACCGUUGGUCUUUUCUAGCUGUCCAUUGGCUCGUGGAUGAUAAGGUGUAGUUUUGUGGUGCUUGAUCUCAUACUCCGCUGUUAAUGCUUCAAUUGUUGCAUUAAUAAAAUAUCUUCAGCGAUCACUAACCAAUUCUUUUGGACAGCCAAAACAAGUGAUAAUGUUCUCAUAUAAAAAUGUUGCUACGAUAUUGACAUUAUUAGUUUUCGUUGCCAUUGCCUCCGCCCAUUUGGUGACAUAAUUGGUGGCUACUAGAAUAUAACGUUUAUGUCCAUUUUGAGAGGCAGGUGCAAUUGGUCCUACAAAGUCAAUGCCCCAUUUUUUGAAUGGUGUUUGUAUCAAAAUUGGUACCAAUGGCAUUGCAAAAGUUCUAAUAGGGCGAUCAAAAAUCAUGACCAAUGGGCUUUGAAGAGGCUGCCCGAGGCCAAAUUCAGGAUUAGGGUUAGUUUCUCAAGGCCAUUCGAACUUUCGAGGUUGAGGUCAGAAGGUUUAGGGUUUUGGAUAUGGUUUUGGUGCAAAAUUUGUAUCAUUUAGGGUUUUUAUGAAGAAGUUAUAGACGCUCAAAGUUAAGGUGUUAGUUUUUGGACCUACUAUCCUUCUUUGGGGCAUUGCGCACGCAGACAGAGAGCAAACAAAGAUCGGCGACUGAAGUUGGAAAGAACACUUUUUUGCCUACAAUUAAUGCCUACUUUUUGUCAAAUUCAAAGCUUUGAUGAAGGAGAUAUUGGCAGAUAAAGUUAGCGCUUGGAAUCUAAGGGUUGUAAGUAGCUCGAUUUACUUGUACUUGUGAUUUGAGCUAUGUCUUAGAUAAUUUGAUGAGGUUUUGACUCAAAAUUUCUAAGAUUGUGUAUAAUGUUGUUAUGAAGCUUUCUACAUAAGUUUUGUGGAAUUUAGAGUUUGGGUUUUUGAGAUACAGGGAAAAUAGUUUUUGGAUGCUUGUAAGUUAGGGUUUUGUGUACCUGCUAGAAUUUCUAAGAUGCUGAAAGAUCGGUGAUAGAUGUACGGUUCAUUUUUGUUGUGAUAAGGGUUAAAAAUAGCAUCUAUCUUAUGUAGAAGUUUGAAAGAAAUUGAAAGGUUGGAUCGAGAUAUAUGAGAUCCUAAAGUCUGAUGUAAAAAGGUCUUUGUGGGAAGAAAAAUGUUUUGAAGGAUAUUAAUAUAUUUUGAGUUUUUAUACAAAGCAAAGAGGAUUUUUUGGGAGCUAAGGUAUAAUAUGCAAGUGAAACCUGAACUCUCUACAGCUAUAUACCUGGUGUAUUCUUAGAUAGAAAAUCACGCCAAACGACAGCGCAAAAUGUCCUCCACAACUGUCCAAAUGACAUCCUUCCAAAAUUGUACGAACUUCACUUUGAAAGAUGUAACAGCGUUAAAUUCCAUCAUGCCCUUAUUUGUACAAGGUAUCUCCAAUCAUGGUAUAUGAAGUACUUUUUAAAAUCAGAUGCUUCUUUAAUUUUUCAUUAUAGGAAAUUAGAAAAUUUUGAAACCUUAGAUAUAAGAUCAAUUCACCAUAUUGUCACGGACACAAAAUACAGACUUGAAAUCUAACAAGAAGUUCAAGAAGAAGUGGCAGAACUAGAUUAAACAGAUGAGUACAAGAACAACACCAGAAAGGUGAGCUAGAACUCCAAGAGAUGUGUUGUCGAGACUGAAGAACUCUUCAGCCUCGAUCCCUAUAUAUACUCCUACUUAGGAAGCUUCUAGAAACUUCUCUUCUAGAAGGUUCCAGAGACUUCCUUUCUAGAAGCUUCUAGAAACUUCUCUCUAAAAGGUUCCAGAGGCUUCUCUUUUAGAAGGUUCCAGAGGCUUGUUUUCUAGAAGGUUCUAGAAACUUCUCUCUAGAAAGUUCUAAGGAAUAUGUCCCUAACAUCACCCCCUCCUUUAGCUUCGAGGUCUCUGAGAAGCAAUAUUGUUGAUCAGUACCAACGCAAGAAAAUGAAGAUUUGUCGCAUAACUUCUGCUAUGAAUUCCAACUGUUGUUCACGAGGCAAGUGGUUCAUCGAUCCUUGAAGCCAACGGUAAUGGCCCACGCCUUCGACUUCUGACCAAGCAUGAACUUCCAUGUCCUCAUUGUGAAAUUGUCCUGCAAACACGCCUUCUGGUUGACCAUCGUAAGCAGGUUCGAUCUCAAAUAUGAUCACCAGUGAUCGGUUACUCGGUAUCCUCCGUCGUCGUUGUGGUACAUGUAGUUCAUCAUCUCGGGGUCGCCUUCGUGAGCUACUCGGUUGCGAUACUCUGACUGGCAUAGUAUCUAUCUCUUGACUAUCCAUAUCAAAAGACCAAACUACGAUCUAUCUUGGAGAAAAUAACUACAUCAACUAUGAAUUUUGCUGGUGCUCUCCCCUUUUCUUAUAUUGUUGGAAGAACAAGCUUCAGAAAGAAGCUAUCAUUGAAUUGAUUUAGGUUUAUCGAGAUGUCGUUGAUGAAACUCUUGUACCUUUUGUGGCGCAUUCGCAAGAUUUUCAGCUGGCUACCACGUUUACUCAUUAAUGUCAUAGCCGCACCAAUGAACAAGAUAUUCUAACUUUCCCCACCUUUGUCGUGAAUCCAAUACCUUUUCAACCUCGUAUUUUUUGUGGUUCUCGAUUUCAAUACUAGGUGGCGGACAUUGCACUCUUCCAGGAAAAGAUGACUCUCGAUAAGGUUCCAACAGAGAAACAUGAAAGACUAGAUGUACCUUCAUAGAAGCCGGUAACUCCAGCCGGUAUGCCAUUGCAUUAAUUUGCUUUUGGAUGAUAAAUGGUCCCAAUCUUCGAUAGUCCAACUUAUCACAUUGUCGCUUGGUCUUGAUAUUUCGUCGAAGAAGCCAGGCUUUGUCUCCAACUUUGAAAGUAGGUGCUGGAUUCCGAAAUCUAUCUGCAGACGUCUUAUAAGAUUCUUGAGCGGAUUGUAAUUGAAGCUUCAACAUAGUUUGAAGCUCUGAUAGUUGCUUCGCAAAUCCUUCAGCUGCUGGAUUAUUAUUUGUUGACGGACUCAAUAAAUCAAGCUUCGGAUGAUACCCAUAGUUGAAAAAGAAUGGUGUUUGUUGAGUCGACACAUGGAGGGUGUUGUUAUAUGCAAACUCGGCUAGCGAUAGAUAUGCAGUCCAAUCGUCUUGGUGAUAGUUGAUGUUGCAUCGUAAGUACUGCUCCAAGACUUGGUUCACCCGUUCCAUUUGGCCAUCAGUUUGAGGAUGAAAAGCUGAAGAAAGCUUGAUAUCCACCUUUAAUAUUCCAAAGAGAGAUCUCGAAAACUUUGACACGAACUGGGUACCUCGAUCUGAUAUGAUAUCAUCUGGUAGUCCAUGAUAUCGAUACACAUUAUCGAGAAAGAGUCUUGUUGUGACUUCACUGGACGAUGUCUUCUUACAAGGAACAAAGUGUGCCAUCUUUGUAAGCCGAUCUACCACGACAAAGAUGCUGUCAAAUGAGUUUGAUGAUGGCAAGUCCGUGAUGAAGUCCAUAGAAAUUGAAGACCAUAGUCAACGUGGAAUUGGCAAUGGCUGUAGAAGUCCAUAAGGGCGAUGUUGAGGAUUCUUAGAUCUUGAACAGAUGUCACAAGAGAAGACAAAAUCUUUCACAUCCUUCCACAUUUGGGGCCACCAAAAAUCUCGAGAAAUAAGCUCCAAGGUCUUGUUGAAUCCAAAAUGUCCAGCAGCUGGAAAAUCAUGGCGAGAUUGAAGAACUCGGAGUCAUGCUAGUCCUUUUCGAAUGUACAAUUGCUCUUCAAAGUAUAAAAGAUCUCCCUCCACCUUGAACUUCUCGUCAUUGGUACGUUGCUUGAUAUCAAUGGCUAUUGAAUCUUUAAUGGUCAUAGCACGUACUUGGUUUAGGAAGUCAGCAUCAAAUGAUACAAUAGUAGCACAAAGUUGAAAUCUCUCUGGCUUCAAUAACGUUGUACAUUGUUGAUCAAACGUUGCUUCUCCAGCCUUUGGUGCAAGAUAUGAUCUCCUUGAUAAAGUAUUGGAUAGUCCUUGCUGUCUUCCAAGUCGAUAAGUGAUAACAAAAUCGAAUCUAGAUAGCGACAUAUUCCAACGAGCUUGACGCCGAUUUAAAACUCGAGCCGUCAUGAAAUACUCCAAGUUCUUGUGAUCCGUAUAUACGAUUAUUCGAUGUGCAGCUCCUUCAAGAAAGUGACGCCAUUCUUCGAAAGAAUCUACUAUAGCAAGAAGUUCCUUAUCGUGGAUCUCAUAAUUGAUUUCAGCAGCAGAGAACUUCCGAGAAUAGAAUACAACUGGAUGGAGCUUCUUAUCUUCACUCAUUUGUGAAAGUACAACUCCCAAACCAAAAUCUGAAGCAUCAAUUUCUAAAUAGAAGGCCUUUGUAAAGUCUGGAUGUACCAAAAUUGGAGCUGUAGUAAAUGCUGUCUUCAAAUCUUGAAACGCCUUCUCCGCCAAAGGUCCCCAUUCCAACUUAUCUUUGCAUGUUAAUCGAGUGAAAGGAGCAGCAACUUGAGAAUAAUUCUUGAUGAAGAUCCGAUAGAAGUUAGCAAAACCAAGAAAGCAUUGUACGUUGUCGUAUUACGUGCUUUCUUGCUCAAGAACAUGCCGGGCGUCUGGCUGUAGAAGGUAGUAUGGAGAUUCGCCAAUAGUCAAGCAGUCUAUCAGUUUUUGACUGCUGGAAUAUAAACGACUACAAAAAUAUAUCGUAAAUCUAUACGGAUGCCCUUCGAUUGCUUGUCGAAGUCCUUUUUGCCCCAGCCGGUAGGUCUCUAGACGUUACAGAGAAUCCCAAACAACCAAAUCUACUAAUCUCCGAUACCGCUUUGUACUUAUGAUCUUGAAUCCAUUGACAGUCUUGUUAGAUUAAUCCAAUAAAUUUCAUUCACUCCGCAUACUCAAUCCUAUAGAUACCUUUUUUAUCCUUCAAUCUCAGACGUAACUGGAUUUCACAAAACAGCCAGGAGUGAUCUCACCCACUUCAUUAAAAAUCCCGAUUCACCAUUACAACACUGACUUCAGCAACGAUUGCCUCCAUCUUCUCAAAACUCUAUGAAGAAGAAAAAUCCAAUUCUCUGUCUUUCCUUCCUCGACCCGAAGCACGAAGCUCCUCUCCAAUCCCCUUGGUCUUUAAAAACCUCUCAUGAAACCGAACUAGUAACCUUCAAAAAAAAAAAACUUGGAGCUAGCUCUUCGAUCCCAAAAAACCUUCCCUCCCCUCUGAUCCCUCUUCCCCUAACCUUAUCCUCUGAAUUUCUUCAAUCUUCCAUCUUAGAUCCGAAAUUGGCUCCCAUUGUCAAAGCUUAGAUCCGAAAUUGGCUCCCAUUGUCAAAGCUUAGAUCCGAAAUUGGCUCCCGCCGUCAGAGCUUUCAAAAUGGCACAGAGAAUAGGACAACCUGAAACAGAAUCGAAACCCCGUACUCGGAUCCACAUUGAGUUGCGUGACCAAUUCAGGUCUCAUAUUGAGUAAGAGGACGCGUAGUAACCUGGAUGUUCCCGUAAUUAUUCUGCAUUGGAUUGCACGACCAAUACAGGUCUCAUAUUGGAUAAGAGGACCCGAAGUAAGACCUGGAUUUUCCCGUAAUCAGACUGCAUUGGGUUGCCCGACCAAUGCGGGUUUCAUAUUGGGUAAGAGGACCCGUAUUGGAUUCUUGAAAUUAGAUCCAAUUGGCUCUUCAAACCAAGCUCACCCAUCGCGUGAAUUGGUCCUUUCCCUUCCUGCUGACUCCCAUUAUUGGAAUCGAAUGAAGCAUUUCAGUAUGUCCCAGCUUACUAUAAUGGGGUGACUGAACCUGACCACUCAGUAUUUGCACUGGAGUUGGUCGUUGCUUCCAAUAUUCGAGGUAACUGAAUAUUAAUAAAAGUCCCUUUUCUUUAUAUUUUCAUGGUAUACUCGUAUUACAACACGACAUCCACCCCCUCUGAACCUGUGCAUCCUCCAAUAUGCACCAAUUUACCCAAUUGCUGUUUGAUUCAGAAUAUAUCCUCUACGUCUUUGUUCUGUUCGUCUUCGUCACCUUCAUUAUCCAAAUCACUUUCAUCUUCUUCCUGCAGAAUCUCUAUACCUUCAUUAAGGUCUUCCAUAUUCAUCUCCGCGUGUCUUCGUUUAAAUAUUUUUACUCGCUUCUCUGCAAUUGGUAUUUUCAAUUUUGUACCAUCUAACUCCCGUAAUGAGUAAGUCGCAUUAUCAUGAACAGUUGUUACUAUAUAUGGUCCAAACCAACGUUUUGAAAAUUUCCGCAAAGUACUAUGUUGAUUAUCCAGACUAUUGUCAUAAACAAGUACCCAAUCACCUUCCUCAAUUGCUUUUGGUCUCAAUCGAUGUUGCUUAUCGAAUCGCGCCUUGUUUUGUAACCUUGCUCUUUUUAACCUUCCCAAUGCUAUCUGGACAUCUUCCGUUCUUUGCUCCAAUUGUCGAAUCCUAAUAGCCAGAAGUUCUUCUCUUGUCAAUCCAUCUUCUCAUGGUAGCAUACUCCAAGUAAGUACCUUUUCUUCAAUCGGCAUAAUUGGUUUUUGACUUGUCAUAAGUUCUACUGGCAUAUAUCCUGUCAUCGAACUAUGUGUUGUUCGAUCAGCCCAUAAUACAAAUGACAAAAGCCGUGGCCACUCUUUAACUUUCCUAUUACAAGCUUUAACCAAUGCUUUCACAAUCGGUGGGUGACCGCGUUUGCUUUUUGCAUUCCCUUCCGAAUUAUAAGCAAUAGUCAGUGAUAGUUUAACUCCAUAUCUUUCAAAGAACUUACGAGCUUCUUGUGCAUUUAAUUCUCCACGAUCUGCAGUGAUUUUUCCUACGCAUCCGUAGCAGCAAAUGACAUCUUCAAGCAAAAACCUACAAAUCCUGUCUGUAGAUUUUGUCCUCAAUGCUCUUCCUUCUACUUGAUUUGAUAAAUCUUCUCGAGCUAAAACCAAAUAUCUCAUCUGUCAUAAUCCAACCGGCAUAAUAACCAAAUCAACAACCCAUUUAAAAUGAAUAGCCAAAGGAUACGUAGGAUGAAGACCAUCUCGAUGUCAGAUAUUAAAAUACGAUUGACAGAUUUCACAUGACUCUACAAAUGAGAGCACAUCUCGAUACAUAUUUUUCCACCAAUAUCGUUCCUUGAGUUUAGCAAAAGUAGCCCAGAUUCUUCUAUGCCCUGCCCAUAAACUAUCAUGAAACUCUUUUAAUAAUUUUAGUUUUUCUUCUCUUUUGCCUAUCACUCGUUGUGGCAUCCCAAUUCCUUUCUUCGGUCUCUUCCAUAAGAAUCCAUCUCGAAGUAAAAAUCCAUAUGCUUUUUUUCUUAUUUGUUUGAAUUUUUCUAUAGACCAAUUCCCCUGCUUAGUCAAAGUAUUCAAGUAAUGACCAAUAUCUAAUAAUUCUCCUUCAUAAGAUUCUUCAAGAAAUAGCUUGUCUUCUCUGUUGAGAUUUGAUAUUGAAUAGAAUUUCAAUCUGACGUCAUCAAUGUCUUCAACCAUUUCGUCCUCCCUCUCGUAUCUUGCUCCAGAUAACAUGUCUGCUACUAAAUUGUCCUUCCCAGUAAUAUGCUUAAAUUCUGGAUUUAGUGACUUAAUAUAAGCAAUCCAUCUCAACAUUGCAAUAUCUAGCGUUGAACAAUUAAUAAUCAUUCCAAGAAAUGGCAAGCAAUCUAUUUCAAUUACUACUACUGCCCCAAUCAAAUAGUCCUUUUCAGCUUUCAUAGCCGAAACGACUCCCCAAAGUUCUCUUUUGACUUACUAAUAUGCAUACUGACGAAUACUUAAAACUUUAGCCCCAAACCGAACUGCAAAUCUAUUCCUACUAGAAUCAUCUUGACCCACAGCCCAUCCAAUGGCAAUUGGACUAGCGUCCAUAGUAAGAAUCACUGGUCUAUUGCACUUAUAAUCAACCUUCCUCAAUAUUGGAGGUGACAUCAAUAAUUUCUUCAAUCUUUGCAUUGCCUAAAUAUGCCUUUCUUCCCAUUUAAAUCGGUAACCCUUGCGUAACAGUUCAUAUAAUGGAUCCGUUAUGUGAGCAAAAUGAGGGAUCCAGAUUCGAUAAAAUACACAUGCACCCAAAAACCUGCGAACCUCUAUUAAAGAAUCACAAUCCUCUUUCAUCCUUCCAAUUGCAUCAACUUUAGUCGGAUCUGGUUUUCUUCCGUAAGAUCCACAUAAAUGUCUAACAAUUACAACCUCUCGCACUCCAAAUACGGACUUCAUACCCGAUAAUGUAAGAUGAACUUCUCCAAGCCGAGUUAAAAUCUUUUCACAAUCUUGUAUAUGAUCAACAACAUAUCUGCGAUACCCCCUCGUAUCUAAAGUUUCAUCCUUGUCUCCUUCUCUGCAUCCUUUUAUAGGAACCUCAUCCAGAAAAGGCAUAGUCUUUUCCGGAAUAAAAUCUCUCAAUACCUUAUUCAUCCCAUUCAUUAUAUGCACAACUGAGUUGGUCGCGCCUUGAGGAAGACUGCACAUUCUAACCAAUCCAAGUGGUGUCCUCAUUGUUGUCAUAUCUCUACUUCCUUCGGCAAGUUGAAAUUGAUCAUAAUCUGAAUACAAGUCACCCAUUGAAUAGAUCACCCUUCCAACAAACGCCUCAGCAAAUUCAUCCACAAUAGGCCCAAUUCCUGCAUUUCUGACAGUUACUGCAUUAACCGGUUGCAUAUCUUGAAUAAACCGUAGUGACCCAUUCUUCUUAGGUAUCAUAAACCAUCGACUAGAAUACGGCGAAAAUGAGGGUUCCAAUAUUUUCAUCUUUAUCUUUUCUUUUAAUAGUUCAACCAAUUUAGGUAAAUGUGCCCUCGGUACUGGAAUCGGUCUUAGAUUUUAAGGUACAUGUGGUACAGUGAAGAUAACCAUAGGUGUUAUAAUAUUUGGAUCCACACACCCAAUUUCAUGAGAUUCGAAGGCAAACGAUCUACCUUGUCUAGCCAACAUCUUUUUGAAGCAAGUAAUUUCCUCCGGCAAUAAAAAACCAUCAGAACCAAUCUUCAAUUCUUCAAAAGUCUCUUUAGUAAACUCAUGUCCAAUACUCACUAGAUCUCUUAAACUUGCUUCUUUUGAUGCUUCUCCCUUUUGUUCUUUAGAAUCUUCUGGUAAUAGUCCAGUAACAGGCUUUAUCUUCUUAUCUGCCGUUUUAUAUCUCGUCUCUAGUGUGACUUCUGGUGCUUGAAAAGAUUCAAGCAUGGUAUAAACCUCUCUCGAAUGAAUCUCAACAAUCUUAUCAUUAUCUCCUAACCCAAUAGAUGUAAUGAAUUCCAAUGAAUCUUCCAGUCCAUUUUCUUCAUAAACACCUAAAAUCCUCUCAUCAUCUUGCAAUGUACCUAUCUUGCGUAACUGUCCUUCAAUAUCAUAUAAUCUUUUUCUUUCUUUUCUUUUAAAAUCAUCAACUUUCUUAUACAUAAUAUUUCCAUUCUCCGAUAUACCUAUAAAACUGGCAUCAAAGGCACCUUCAUCUCGCGAGGGUUCCUCUUCUUUUGUACCUCCAUAAUCUCGCUUUACAGUGGUACCUCCCCAAAAUCCUGAAAUCCUUCAACAAUCUUUGGCAAUGGUUUCUCCCUGAACCUAUCUCGAUUCCGUUCAUAGUUAGGAGGUACUGUUAGAAAUUGUACAGCUUUCCUUCCAUCCUCGCUACGUACCCUUGCAUAAGCAGAACCAUCGUCCAAUACUUUUGUUUCCAUCUGUGUUGCCGUAAUAUAAGGUUGUCCUAAAAUCAACGGAUAAGACGUUGUAUCUUUCGCUUAAUGCUGUCAAUGAUGACAUCAUGAAGCUCCUUCUUUGCAAUUCCCAAAACUUCUUUCAAUGUGAAUUCCACCUUAGCGUUUAAUAUACGUUCUUCCAACACCCCUUUCAAAUUUAUUGCCGCUUCAAUGUGAGAAAGUAGCUUAUAAGCAAUUGAUUUGUCCUUAUCUUUUGUCUCCUUUGUUUUUUCUCUCAAUGAUGCUGAGGUAUCCUUUACAGGCAAUUCUUGUGAAGCUGCCUCCCGAGCCUUGUCUCCUCGAGUUUGCCUCUUAGAAGAAUUUCCUUCUCUAAUAUCAUCAAAAUUUCCUCGUCUCUUUUCUUCCAUCAAAGCUUCAUUGUGGCUCUUAGCAAUAUAUGCAUGAACAGAAAGAGACUCAACAUGAUCCUCCCAACCUGUUCUACCUCGUAAUGUAGCUGCAGUUCUCAAUAACGCUUCUCGAGGUAAUUUCCCUUCUUGCAUUAUAGAAACGGCAGAAGCCCAAAACUCACUAGUUUCCGUACUUCCACCAAUUUCAUCAUCUACUCUAGCACCAUAACUUGCACUUUCUCGUGCUGCUGUUUCAUGCUCUUUUAGGUAAUCUUCAACCAAUGCUCUCAUUCCUCCCUUGCCAAAAUUGGUUUGAAGAAGAUCCUCUCUAUUUUUCAAUACUAUCUUCCCAUCUUUUCAGCAAAUAAUUCCCUGCCGUAUCAUAUUAUUAAAUUCAUUGCAAUCUUUUCUAGUGUGUGAAGCAUCAUCACACCAAAUGCAUCUUUGUACAUAUCCUUGUUUUGAAACAUUCUUCGAAUUGUUUUUUUAGAAGUAUUCUCUUCAAGUCUUGCCAAUUUGAUUUGAAGAUCUCGCAUUCCUCGUAUAAUUUCUUCCAUCUCCAUAUCUGCUUUCUUUGACAAGGAUGUCGAAGGUUGAACUGUAGGCAUUGUUGGUGGUGUUGUACGCUGUCGUGUUGUAACACGAAUAUACAGUGAAAAUAAAAAGAAAAGGGAAUUUUAUUAAUAUUCAGUUACCUCGAAUAUUGGGAGCAUCGACCAACUCCAGUACAAAUAUUGAGUGGUCAGGUUCAGUCACUCCGUUACAGUCAGCCGGGGCAUACUGAAAUGCUCCAUUCGAUUCCAAGAACGGGAGUCAGCAGGAAGAGAAGGACCAAUUCACACGACGGGUUCGGAGAGCCAAUUGGAUCCAAUUUUGAUAAUCCAAUCCGGGUCCUCUUAUCCAAUAUGAGACUUGAAUUGGCCGGUAUCGUGUUGUAACACGAGUAUACAGUGAAAAUAAAAAGAAAGGGGAAUUUUAUUAAUAUUCAGUUACCUCGAAUAUUGGGAGCAUCGACCAACUCUAGUACAAAUACUGAGUGGUCAGGUUCAGUCACUCCGUUACAGUCAGCCAGGGCAUACUGAAAUGCUCCGUUCGAUUCCAAUAUCGGGAGUCAGCAGGAAGAGAGGGACCAAUUCACAUGACGGGUUCGAGGAGCCAAUUGGAUCCAAUUUCGAUAAUCCAAUCCGGGUCCUCUUAUCCAAUAUGAGACCUGAAUUGGCCGGUCAACCCAAUGUAGUCUAAUUACGGGAAAUCUAGGUCUUACUACGGGCCUCAGCCAGUUUGAAGCGAAGACCAAUUUGACCCAAUUACGUGAGCAUCCAGGUUACUAAGGGCAUCUUACCCAAUAUGGGACCUGAAUUGGUCGGGCGACUCAAUGUGGUCCCGAUUACGGGGUUUCGAUUCUGUUUCGGGCUGUCCUGUUUUCUGUGCCGUUUCAGGGAACAUUGUUUACGGUAAAUGGAUCUCUUAAAGGUAAAAACGAAGGAGAAGGCCUUGAUGACGUGAGCCAAUUUCGGAUCUAAGCUCUGACGGGGGGAGCCAAUUCCGGAUCUAAGAUGGAAGAUUGAAGAAAUUCAGAGGAUAAGGUUAGGGGAGAAGGUAGUUUUAGAGAGGGAGGUUUUUUUUUCGGGGGAAUCGGAGGGGAGCUAGUUUUCAAGCUUUUGCAAGGUUACCAGUUCGGGUUUCAUUGGAGGUUUUUGAAGAUCAAGGAAAUUAGAGAGAGGAGCUUCAUGCUUGGGGUCGGGGAAGGAAAGACAUAGAAUUUGGAUUUUUCUUCUUCAUAGAGUUUUGGGAAGACUGAGGCAAUCGCUGCUAAAGUUAGUAUUGUAAUGGUGAAUUGGGAUUUUUAAAUGAAGUGGGUUUGAAUACUCUUGACUGUUUUGUAAAAUCGAGUUACGUCUGUGAUUGAAGGAUUAAAGGGGUAUCUAUAGGAUUAAGUAUGCGGAGUGAAUGAAAUUUAUUAGGUUAAUCUAACAGGACAGUCAGUGGAUACAAGAUCGUAAGUACAAAGGGGUAUUAAAGAUUAACAGUUUGAGUUGUUCGGGGUUCUCUGUAAUGUCUAGGGACCUAUCGGCUGGGGCAAAAAAAAAAGACUUCGACAAGCAGUCGAAGAGCAUCCGUAUAGAUUUACGGUACAUUGUUGCAGUCGUUUAUAUUCCAGCAGUCAAAAACUGAUAGACUGCUUGACUAUCGGCGAAUCUCCAUACUACCUUCUACAGCCAGACGCCCGGCGCGUUCUCGAGCAGGAAAGCACAUAAUACGACAUAAGUGGUGAACCCGACGUGAAAGCUUGAGGUAGAAGGUAUUGGAUUUCGGUUGAUUUUAUCUUUAUUUUUAUGGAAAACGAAAAUAAAAAUUUUGAAGGAUUUUUGGGAGAAGUUUCUGGUGGGGAGUCUUCUAAAGGACAAGGUAUGCACAUGGAUCCGUCUAUUGCUAGUUUGUUUCAAGCCUUCUCAUUGUCAAUGCAGCAACAGCAAAGCAAUGAUCGAAAGGAAGCUUUGGCAACUAAAGCAUUGCAAGCAGUGGUCAAUAAAAUUGAUCAAUUUGAUGGGAGGAAUAUUUCAAGGUAUUUAAGAUGUUAUGUUCGUGAAAUGGAAUUAAAUCGGGUUUCUGAGAAGAAAAUGGUUGCACUAUUUGGACUUGCCACGAUACCAGAGAUAAGAGACCACAUUACAUCGAUUACGGAUCGUUAUGAGAAUUCAUGGGAGGAUUUUUCACAUGCAUUGAAAGACGAAUAUUUCUUGGAAGAUGCUGAUCGCGUUACUAAGAAGCUCUUUCUGGGAUGGAUUGAACGGCCCAAUAAGAAUUUGCAAGCAACAGAGCUACUAAGGGAAUUUGAGAGGCAGUACUCUCAAUUAUCGAAGGUAGAAAAAUUGACAUUGGAGCCGAACAAAGUUGAUCUAUUUCUUCAAGCUGCUGAUGGAGAAUUGCAAGAGAAAUUAGAACCCCUUCUUGAAGACAAAGAAGAAGAUGAAGGAUUGACAACGAAGUGGAAGAACGUUGAAGAUGCAGUGGGGUUGCUUACAAAAUAAAAAAAAAAAGGAAGGAUAGGAGCAAUAUUCCAAAAACAAUACAAGCACCCAAAGCUCCAGUACGUACAACACCACCGACAAUGCCUACAGUUCAACCUUCGACAUCCUGGUCAAAGAAAGCAGAUAUGGGUAUGGAAGAAAUUAUACGAGGAAUGCGAGAUCUUUAAAUCAAAUUGGCAAGACUUGAAGAGAAUACUUCUAUAAACAAUUCGAAGAAUGUUUCAAAACAAGGAUAUGUACAAAGAUGCAUUUGGUGUGAUGAUGCUUCACACACUAGAAAAGAUUGCAAUGAAUUUAAUAAUAUGAUACGGCAGGGAAUUAUUUGCUGAAAAGAUGGGAAGAUAGCAUUGAAAGAUAGGGAGGAUCUUCUUCAAACCAAUUUUGGCAAGGGAGGAAUGAGAGCAUUGGUUCAAGAUUACUUAAAAGAGCAUGAAACAGUAGUACGAGAAAGUGCAAGUUAUGGUACUAGAGUAGAUGAUGAAAUUGGUAGAAGUACGGAAACUAGUGAGUUUUGGGCUUCUGCCGUUUCUAUAAUGCAAGAAAGGAAAUUACCUCGAGAAGCAUUAUUGAGAACUGCAGCUACAUUACGAGGUAGAACAGGUUGGGAGGAUCAUGUUGAGUCUCCUUCUGUUCAUGCAUAUAUUGCUAAGAGCCACAAUGAAGCUUUGAUGAAAGAAAAGAGACGAGGAAAUUUUGAUGAUAUUAGAGAAGGAAAUUCUUCUAAGAGGCAAACUCGAGGAGACAAGGCUCGGGAGGCAGCUUCACAAGAAUUGCGUGUAAAGGAUACCUCAUCAUCAUUGGAAGGAAAAACAACGGAGACAAAAGAUAAGGGCAAAUCAAUUGCUUAUAAGCUACUUUCUGACAUUGAAGCGGCAACAAAUUUGAAAGGGGUGUUGGAAGAACGUAUAUUAAACGCUAAGGUGGAAUUCACAUUGAAAGAAGUCUUGAGAAUUGCAAAGAAGGAAUUUUAUGAUGUUAUCAUUGACAGCAUUAAGAGAAAGAGGUAAUUAUUGGACGAAACUGGAAUGAGUCAUGCUAUUGAUGCAAGAAUAUGUAGAGAUGAAGAAGAGGUUGAUAUUGGUUACAAGCAACUAAGAAAUGACAAAAAUGGGUAUAAUCAGCGAGUACGUUUCGAAGAUUCUAGUGACAAGGAAAUGGAAACUUUGAGCCAUUAUACUCGAAAGCAUUGAGCAAGGGCAACUACUGAGGUAUUGGUGAAGGUAGGAGAUAUAGAAGAACCAAUAGUUGCUUAAGUGGACCAUGGUUCUGAAAUAAAUCUCAUGUCUAAAGAUCUUUAUAAGAAGCAAAAAUGGCCAAUUGAUAUGGAACAUGGAUGGGCAAUACGAGCAGCUAAUAACACACGAGGCGAAUUAUAUGGAGCUUGUCCAGAUGUCAAAAUUCGGAUUGGGGAUGUUGCGACGGAGCAACAUUUCUUCGUUCAAGAUACAACGUCUUAUCCGUUGAUUUUAGGACAACCUUAUAUCAUUGAAAGAAAAGAUAAAGAUGAAAAUAUUAGAACCUUCAUUUGCGCCGUAUUCUAGUCGAUGGUUUACGGUACCUAAGAAGAAUGGGUCACUGCGGUUUAUUCAAGAUAUGCAGCCGGUGAAUGCUGUAACUGUCAGGAAUGCAGGAAUUGGACCUAUUGUGGAUGAAUUUACUGAGGCGUUUGCUGGAAGGGCGAUCUAUUCAAUGGGUGAUUUGUAUUCAGGUAUGAUCAAUUUCAACUUGCCGAAGGAAGUAGAGAUAUGACAAUGAUGAGAACACCGCUUGGAUUGGUUAGAAUGUGCACUCUUCCUCAAGGCGCGACCAACUCAGUUGCGCAUAUGAUGAAUGGGAUGAAUAAGGUAUUGAGAGAUUUUAUUCCGGAAAAGAUUAUGUCUUUUCUGGAUGAUGUUCCUAUAAAAGGGUGGAGAGAAGGAGACAAGGAUGAAACUUUAGAUACGAGGCGGUGUCGAAGAUAUGUUGUUGAUCAUAUACAAGAUUGUGAAAAGAUUUUAACUCGGCUUAGAGAAGUUCAUCUUACAUUAUCGGGUAUGAAGUCCGUAUUUGGAGUGCGAGAGGUUGUAAUUGUUAGACAUUUAUGUGGAUCUUACGGAAGAAAACCAGAUCCGACUAAAGUUGAUGCAAUUGGAAGGAUGAAAGAGGAUUGAGGUUCUUUAACAGAGGUUCGCAGGUUUUUGGGUGCAUGUGUAUUUUAUCGAAUCUGGAUCCCUCAUUUUGCUCACAUAGCGGAUCCAUUAUAUGAACUAUUAUGCAAGGGUUACCGAUUUGAAUGGAAAGAAAGGCAUAUUCAGGCAAUGCAAAGAUUGAAGAAAUUAUUGAUGUCACCUCCAAUAUUGAGGAAGGUUGAUUAUAAGUGCAAUAGACCAGUGAUUCUUACUAUAGACGCUAGUCGAAUUGCCGUUGGAUGGGCUGUGGGUCAAGAUGAUUUGAAUGGGAGUAGAUUUGCAGUUCGAUUUGGGGCUAAAGUUUUAAGUAUUCGUCAGCGUGCAUAUUCGCAAGUCAAAAGAGAACUUCGGGGGGUCAUUUCGGCUAUAAAAGCUGAAAAGGACUAUUUGAUUGGGGCAGUAGUAGUAAUAGAAACAGAUUGCUUGCCAUUGCUUGGAAUGAUUAUUAACUGUUCAACGCCAGAUAUUGCAAUGUUGAGAUGGAUUGCUUAUAUUAAGUCACUAAAUCCAGAAUUUAAGCAUAUCACUGGAAAGGACAAUUUACUAGCAGACAUGCUAUCUCGAGCAAGAUACGAGAGGGAGGACGAAAUGGUUGAAGACAUUGAUGAUGUCGGAUUGAAAUUCUAUUCAAUAUCAAAUCUCAACAGAGAAGACAAGUUAUUUCUUGAAGAAUCUCAUGAAGGAGAAUUAUUGGAUAUUGGUCAUUAUUUGAAUACCUUGUCUAAGCAGGGAAAUUGGUCUACAGAAAAAUUCAAACAAAUAAGAAAAAAAGCAUAUGGAUUUUUACUUCGAGAUGGAUUCUUAUGGAAGAGACCGAAGAAAGGAAUUGGGAUGCCACAACGAGUGAUAGGCAAAAGGGAAGAAAAACUAAAAUUAUUAAAAGAGUUUCAUGAUAGUUUAUGGGCAGGGCAUAGAGGAAUCUGGGCUACUUUUGCUAAACUCAAGGAACGAUAUUGGUGGAAAAAUAUGUAUCGAGAUGUACUCUCAUUUGUAGAGUCAUGUGAAAUCUGUCAAUCGUAUUCUAAUAUCCAACAUCGAGAUGGUCUUCAUCCUACGUAUCCUCUGGCUAUUCAUUUUAAAUGGGUUGUUGAUUUGGUUAUUAUGCCGGUUGGAUUAUGGCAGAUGAGAUGUUUGGUUUUAGCUCGUGAAGAUUUAUCAAAUCAAGUAGAAGGAAGAGCAUUGAGGACAAAAUCUACAGAGGAGAUUUGUAGGUUUUUGCUUGAAGAUGUCAUUUGCCGUUACGGGUGGGUAGCAAAAAUCACUGCAGAUCGUGGAGAAUUAAAUGCACAAGAAGCUCGUAAGUUCUUUGAAAAAUGUGAGUUAAACUAUCACUGACUACUGCUUAUAAUCCAGAAGGGAAUGCGAAAAGCGAACGCGGUCACCCGCCGAUUGUGAAAGCAUUGGUUAAAGCUUGUAAUGGGAAAGUUAAAGAGUGGCCACGGCUUUUGUCAUUUGCAUUAUGGGCUGAUCGAACAACACAUAGUUUGGUGAUAGGAUAUAUGCGAGUAGAACUUAUGACAGGUCAAAAACCAAUUAUGCCGAUUGAAGAAAAGGUACUUACUUGGAGUAUGCUACCAUGGGAAGAUGGAUUGACAAGAGAAGAACUUCUGGCUAUUAGGAUUCGACAAUUGGAGCAAAGAACGGAAGAUGUCCAGAUAGCAUUGGGAAGGUUAAAAAGAGCAAGGUUACAAAACAAGGCGCGAUUCGAUAAGCAACAUCGAUUGAGACCAAAAGUAAUCAAGGAAGGUGACUGGGUACUUGUUUAUGACAAUAGUCUGGAUAAUCAACAUAGUACUUUGCGGAAAUUUUCAAAAUGUUGGUUUGGACCAUAUAUAGUAACAACUGUUCAUGAUAAUGCGACUUACUCAUUACGGGAGUUAGAUGGUACAAAAUUGAAAAUACCAAUUGCAGAGAAGCGAGUAAAAAUAUUUAAACGAAGACACGCGGAGAUGAAUAUGGAAGAACUUAAUAAAGGUAUAGAGAUUCCGUAGUAAGAAGAUGAAAGUGAUUUGGAUAAUGAAGGUGACGAAGACGAACUGGACAAUGACGUAGGGGAUAUAUUCUGAAUCAAACAGCAAUUGGGUAAAUUGGUGCAUACCGAUGGAUGCACAAGUUCAGAGGGGGUGGAUGCCGUGUUGUAACACGAGUAUACAGUGAAAAUAAAAAGAAAGGGGAAUUUUAUUAAUAUUCAGUUACCUCGAAUAUUGGGAGCAUCGACCAACUCUAGUACAAAUACUGAGUGGUCAGGUUCAGUCACUCCGUUACAGUCAGCCAAGGCAUACUGAAAUGCUCCGUUCGAUUCCAAUAUCGGGAGUCAGCAGGAAGAGAAGGACCAAUUCACAUGACGGGUUUGAGGAGCCAAUUGGAUCCAAUUUCGAUAAUCCAAUCCGGGUCCUCUUAUCCAAUAUGAGACCUGAAUUGGCCGGUCAACCCAAUGCAGUCUAAUUACGGGAAAUCCAGGUCUUACUACGGGCCUCAGCCAGUUUGAAGCGAAGACCAAUUUGACCCAAUUACGUGAGCAUCCAGGUUACUAAGGGCAUCUUACCCAAUAUGGGACCUGAAUUGGUCGGGCGACUCAAUGUGGUCCCGAUUACGGGGUUUCGAUUCUGUUUCGGGCUGUCCUGUUUUCUGUGCCGUUUCAGGGAACGUUGUUUACGGUAAAUGGAUCUCUUAAAGGUAAAAACGAAGGAGAAGGCCUUGAUGACGUGAGCCAAUUUCGGAUCUAAGCUCUGACGGGGGGAGCCAAUUCCGGAUCUAAGAUGGAAGAUUGAAGAAAUUCAGAGGAUAAGGUUAGGGGAGAAGAUAGUUUAAGAGAGGGAGGUUUUUUUUUCGGGGGAAUCGGAGGGGAGCUAGUUUUCAAGCUUUUGCAAGGUUACCAGUUCGGGUUUCAUUGGAGGUUUUUGAAGAUCAAGGAAAUUAGAGAGAGGAGCUUCAUGCUUGGGGUCGGGGAAGGAAAGACAUAGAAUUUGGAUUUUUCUUCUUCAUAGAGUUUUGAGAAGACUGAGGCAAUCGCUGCUAAAGUCAGUGUUGUAAUGGUGAAUCGGGAUUUUUAAAUGAAGUGGGUUUGAAUACUCUUGACUGUUUUGUAAAAUCGAGUUACGUCUGUGAUUGAAGGAUUAAAGGGAUGUCUAUAGGAUUAAGUAUGCGGAGUGAAUGAAAUUUAUUAGGUUAAUCUAACAGGACAGUCAGUGGAUACAAGAUCGUAAGUACAAAGAGGUAUUGAAGAUUAACAGUUUGGGUUGUUCGGGGUUCUCUGUAAUAUCUAGAGACCUAUCGGCUGGGGCAAAAAAAAAAGACUUCGACAAGCAGUCGAAGAGCAUCCGUAUAGAUUUACGGUACAUUGUUGCAGUCGUUUAUAUUCCAGCAGUCAAAAACUGAUAGACUGCUUGACUAUCGGCGAAUCUCCAUACUACCUUCUACAGCCAGACGCCCGGCGCGUUCUCGAGCAGGAAAGCACGUAAUACGACACCGGUCAACCCAAUGCAGUCUAAUUAUGAGAAAUCUAGGUCAUACUAUGGGUCUUAGCCAAUCUGACGCGAGGACCAAUUUGACCCAAUUACGGGAACAUCCAGGUUACUACGGGCAUCUUUCUCAAUAUAGGACCUGAAUUGGUCGGGCGACUCAAUGUGGUCUCGAUUACGGGGUUCGAUUCUGUUUCGGGCUGUCCUGUUCUCUGUGCCGUUUCAGGGAACGUUGUUUCCGGUAAAUGGAUUUCUUAAAGGUAAAAACGGAGGAGAAAGCUUGACAGCGAGAGCCAAUUUCAGAUCCAAGCUUGAGGUGGGAGCCAAUUCCGGAUCUAAGACGGAAGAUUGAAGAAAUUCAGAGGAUAAGGUUAGAGGAGAAGAUAGUUUAGAGAGGGAGGUUUUUUUUUCAGGGGAAUCGGAGGGGAGCUAGUUUUCAAGCUUUUGCAAGGUUACCAGUUCGGGUUUCAUUGGAGGUUUUUGAAGAUCAAGGAAAUUAGAGAGAGGAGCUUCAUGCUUCGGGUCGGGGAAGGAAAGACAUAGAAUUUGGAUUUUUCUUCUUCAUAGAGUUUUGAGAAGACUGAGGCAAUCGCUGCUAAAGUCAGUAUUGUAAUGGUGAAUCGGGAUUUUUAAAUGAAGUAGGUUUGAAUACUCUUGACUGUUUUGUAAAAUCGAGUUACGUCUGUGAUUGAAGGAUUAAAGGGGUGUCUAUAGGAUUGAGUAUGCGGAGUGAAUGAAAUUUAUUAGGUUAAUCUAAUAGGACAGUCAGUGGAUACAAGAUCGUAAGUACAAAGGGGUAUUGAAGAUUAACAGUUUGGGUUGUUCGGGGUUCUCUGUAACGUCUAGAGACCUAUCGGCUGGGGCAAAAAAAAAGACUUCGACAAGCAGUCAAAGAGCAUCCGUAUAGAUUUACGGUACAUUGUUGCAGUCAUUUAUAUUUCAGCAGUCAAAAACUGAUAGACUACUUGACUAUCGGCGAAUCUCCAUACUACCUUCUACAGCCAGACGCCCGGCGCAUUCUCGAGCAGGAAAGCACGUAAUACAACAACGUACUGGAGCUUUGGGUGCUUGUACUAUUUUUGGAAUAUUGCUCCUAUCCUUCCUCCUUUCUUUUUUUGUAAGCAACCCCACCGCAUCUUCAACGUUCUUCCACUUCGUUGUCAAUCCUUCAUCUUCUUCUUUGUCUUCAAGAAGGAGUUCUAAUUUUUCUUGUAAUUCUCCAUCAGCAGCUUGAAGAAAUAGAUCAACUUUAUUCGGCUCCAAUGUCAAUUUUUCUACCUUCGAUAAUUGAGAGUACUGCCUCUCAAAUUUUCUUAGUAGCUCUGUUGCUUGCAAAUUCUUAUUGGGCCGUUCAAUCCAUCCUAGAAACAGCUUCUUAGUAACGCGAUCAGCAUCUUCCAAGAAAUAUUCGUCUUUCAAUGCAUGUGAAAAAUCCUCCCAUGAAUUCCCAUAACGAUCCGUAAUCGAUGUAAUGUGGUCUUUUAUCUCUGGUAUCGUGGCAAGUCCAAAUAGUGCAACCAUUUUUUUCUCAGAAACCCGAUUUAAUUCCAUUUCACGAACAUAACAUAUUAAAUACCUUGAAAUAUUCCUCCCAUCAAAUUGAUCAAUUUUAUUGACCACUGCUUGCAAUACUUUGAUUGCCAAAGCUUCCUUUGGAUCAUUGCUUAAUUGUUACUACAUUGAUAAUGAGAAGGCUUGAAACAUACUAGCAAUAGAUGGAUCCAUAUGCAUACCUUGUCCUUUAGAAGACUCCCUACCAGAAACUCCUCCCAAAAAUCCUUCAAAAUUUUUAUUUUCGUUUUCCAUAAAAAUAAAGAUAAAAUCAACCAAAAUCCAAUACCUUCCACCUCAAGCUUUCACGUCGAGUUCACCACUUUUUUUGUAUUACGUGCUUUCUUGCUCGGGAAUGCGUCGGGCGUCUUGCUGUAGAAGGUAGUAUGGAGAUUCGCCAAUAGUCAAGCAAUCUAUCAGUUUUUUACUACUGGAAUAUAAACGAUUGUAAGAAUACACCGUAAAUCUAUACGGAUGCCCUUCGACUGCUUAUCGAAGUCCUUUUUGCCCCAGCCGUUAGGUCUCUAGACAUUACAAAGAACCCCAAACAACCCAAACUGUUAAUCUUCCAUACCCCUUUGUACUUACGAUCUUGUAUCCACUGACUGUCUUAUUAGAUUAACCCAAUAAAUUUCAUUCACUCUGCAUACUCAAUCCUAUAGACACCUUUUUAAUCCUUUAAUCACAGACGUAACUCGAUUUCACAAAACAGUCAGGAGAGAUCACACCCACUUCAUUAAAAAUCCCGAUUCACCAUUACAACACUAACUUCAGCAACGAUUGCCUCUGUCUUCCCAAAACUCUAUGAAGAAGAAAAAUCCAAUUCUCUGUCUUUCCUUCCCCGACCCGAAGCAUGAAGCUCCUCUCUCUAAUUUCCUUGAUCUUCAAAAACCUCCCAUGAAACCAAACUAGUAACCUUCAAAAAAAAAAAAAAAAUUGAACCUAGCUCUUCGAUCCCAAAAAACCCCUCCCCCUUUGAUCUCCUCUUCUCCUAACCUUAUCUUCUGAAUUUCUUCAAUCUUCCAUCUUAGAUCCGGAAUUGGCUUCCAUCGUCAGAGCUUAGAUCCGAAAUUAGCUCCCGCCAUCAGAGCUUUCAAAAUGGCAUAGAGAAUAGGACAGAUUGAAACAGAAUCGAAACCCCGUACUCGGAUCCACAUUGAGUCGUCCGACCAAUUCAGGUCUCAUAUUAGGUAAGAGGACCCGUAGUAACCUGGAUGUUCCUGUAAUUACUCUGCAUUGGGUUGCCCGAACAAUACAGGUCUCAUAUUGGAUAAGAGGACCCGGAGUAAGACCUGGAUUUUCCCGUAAUCAGACUGCAUUGGGUUGCCCGACCAAUGCUGGACUCAUAUUGGGUAAGAGGAUCCGUAUUAGACUCUCAAAAUUAGAUCCAAUUGGCUCUUCGAACCAGGCUCACCCGUCGCAUGAAUUGGUCCUUUCCCUUCCUGCUGACUCCCGUUAUUGGAAUCGAAUGGAGCAUUUCAGUAUGCUCCAGCUCACUAUAACGAGAUGACUGAACUUGACCACUCAGUAUUUGCACUGGAGUUGGUCGUUGCUUCCAAUAUUCGAGGUAACUGAAUAUUAAUAAAAGUCCCUUUUCUUUAUAUUUUCACGGUAUACUCGUGUUACAACACGACAACGUCUCUAACCGUCUUCGGAACCUCCCAAGGCAUGAUUGCUUCUACUUUCUUGGGGUCCAUCUUCAAACCUUCUAUAGUCGCAAUGAACCCCAAAAAUUCCAUCUCCGUCUGGUGAAAUAAAUACUUUUCUAAUUUGGCAUAUACUCCUCGCUUGCGUAGUUUCUCUAAGACCAAACGAACAUGCUCCUUAUGCUCUUCCUCAUUUUUAGAGAAUAUUAGAAUAUCGUCUAAGUAGAUGACAACAAAAUCGUCGAGGUGUUCUCGAAAGAUGUCAUUCAUCAUAUGUUGGAAAACCGCUGGAGCAUUGGUAAGACCAAAAGGCAUGACAUUAUAUUCGAAAUGACCAUACCUUGUACGGAAUGCUGUCUUCCACUCAUCUCCUUCCUUGAUUCGUACUAGAUUAUAAGCUCUCCUUAGAUCAAUUUUUGUAAAGAUCUUCGCAUGUCCAAGUUGUUCUAAGAGACUAAAAAUCAAGGAUAAUGGGUAACGAUUUUUCUUUGUUACCUUGUUGACGCCUCGAUAGUCCACACACAUCCAUAAUGAUCCAUCUUUCUUCUUCACAAAUAAGAUGGGUGCUCUAGCUGAUGAUUUUGAAUGGCGAAUGAAGUUUUUGGCUGAAUUCUCGUCGAUGUACUUUCGCAACUCUGCCAACUCUGUUUGCGAUAGAUUGUAGAUUGGACCAAAAGGUGGUUGUGCUCCUUCUUACAAGUCUAUGGCACAAUCAUAUGGUCGGUGUUUCGGUAGUAUGUCGGCGUUCUUCUUUUGAAACACAUCUUCAAAAUCCUUAUAUUGCUCGGGUAUACUUGCUGUUGAGAUCUUCUCCUCGGUAGUUGGAGCCGCAUAAAUGACAAAUGGAGUGCCUUCCUUAGAUGAUCUUAUAAACACUCUUGCUCCAAUGAAUAAGGAUUUCUUUUUUCGAGGUUUUUUACUAGGUUUUUUCUUGGGUGGUUUUGUGGGAAAAGUCAUCUUCUGCAACCUCCAAUCUAUCAAUGGAUUAUAUUUUUCCAACCAAGAAAGACCAAGAAUAAUAGGAUUUGAUGGGGUUCUAAUAAUAUUAAAAAUAAUAUGACUACUAUGGUCUUUAAACGUUACUUCUAUAGGUUUUGAUUCAUGGAUGAUGCUACCAGACGAUAAAGGUCGCCCAUCUAUGACCUCAACAUGAACAGGUUUUGAUUUUUGUACUAAAGGGAUCUUAUGACGCUUUGCAAAUUCUUCGUCUAAAAAACAAGCAGAUGCUCCUGAGUCUAGUAGUACUAAGGUUCUCAGUUUUUGAGGGCCGAUAAACAGAGCGAUUAUAAAACAAAGUGUAGGUUGGGCAGAAAGAAAGGAACCUGAUUGUUGUUGGGAUAUUUCAUUUUCCUGUCGCACGGUUCCUACUGUGGCUGGGCAUCCUUGUUUUCCUGAAUAAAUACUCCCCUAGUCUUGACUAUGCCUCGAUUUUGCUUUUUGGGGCAGUUUCUGACUUUGUGGCCUUCUCCACUGCAAUACAAGCAUAAAUUUUCUUCCAUACGUCGCUUUUUUUCUUCUACAGUAAGAGAUUUGAUAUGUACCACAUCAAUUUGCAUGUCUUCCAUCUUUGAAUGCGAAUUCACAUCGCUUGUCGACAUAGUUGGAGCAUGGUAAAUUGUAUGUUGUCUUGAGCCUUGAUCUUGGUGACAUUGGAAUAGGCGAUUAUCGCACUUCACAGCUUGGCUAAUGGCUUCAUUGAGCAUUCGUGGAUUAGGAAGAGUUAACAGCAAAUCCUUCACAUCAUCUCUUAAAUCCCAAUAGAAUUGACUCAUCAACGCUUCUUCAUCCCAAUUGAUGUCGCAUACUAAUUGCCUGAAAUCCGAAGCAUAGACUGAUGUAGAACGCAUCCCUUGUCGUAGCGACCGGAUCUUUGUUGUAGCCCAUCGAAUCUUAUCGUGUUCACCAAAUGCUUUCGUAAAUGCUUCCAAAAAGGUUUCGAAGUUGUUUAAUAUAGAUGAUCGUUUCUCAAACAAAGGAUCAAAUCAUGAUAGAGCUUGUCCCGUAAGUAAGGUUCCAACAAGCCCAACACGUGACUCCUCCGUUGGAUAUCUUUCGAGCUGUAAAAUUGUUAUCAACCUGAUUUGAUUGACGAAUCCUUGAAACUUGGAACGUGUUCCAUCAAACUUAUCUGGAAGGCUAAUUCGAGGCUCCUUAUGUUGUAGAACUAGUGGUUCUUGUCGAACCUGAGGUAAAGUUGUUUUUUCAAGUGCUGAAAUUUGAGGCUGGUGUAGUUUAGAUUGUGCUAUCCCAGAUACUCCAUCAUUAUGAAGCCUUGCCACCACUCCUUCAAUCUCUGCAAUUCUUUGUGAUAACGUAGCGAGGGCAUUCAUAAUAGCAUCUAACUUAGACUCCAAACUUUCUGUCAUACUAAUGUCUUGACCUCUGGCCAUUCUAAAAGAAGGACAAAAAUGACCCUAUAAGAGGCAAUAUUGGUUUAUAGGAAGGUAAUCCACAACCUAUAAAAUGCCUUAAGAAUUUCAAGAAGAGAAGUAAUCCACUCUCUCCAAGAAGAAUAAGACUCCAAUAUUGUAACAGAAGAAGUAUCAGUUUAGAGGAGGGUAAUCCGCAACCUCUAAAAAAUGCUGGUAUACCUUCAAGUAGAGGAGUAAUCCACACUCUACUAAGAAAGAACUAGCUCUAAUAUCUCAAGUUAGUGUAGUCUCGACAAACUGUCACGAACACAAAAUACAGACUUAAAAUCUAACAAGAAGUUCAAGAAGAAGUGACAGAACUAGAUUAAACAGAUGAGUACAAGAACAACACUAGAAAGGUGAAUUAGAACUCCAAGAGAUGUGUGGUCGAGACUAAAGAACUCUUCAGCCUCGAUCCCUAUAUAUACUCCUACUUAAGAAGCUUCUCGAGCUACUUUUAUUAACUAGGAAGCUUCUAGAAGGUUCCAGAGGCUUCCUUUCUAGAAGGUUCUAGAAACUUCUUGAGCUACUUCUAUUAACUAGGAAGCUUCUAGAAAGUUCUAGGGGAUUCCUUUCAAGAAGGUUCCGGAGACUUCCCUUCUAGAAGCUUCUAGAAACUUCUCUCUAAAAGGUUCCAGAGGCUUCUCUUCUAGAAGGUUCCAAAGGCUUGUUUUUUAGAAGGUUCUAGAAACUUCUCUCUAGAAAGUUCUAAGGAAUAUGUUCCUAACACAUAUUCGGGUAUAAUGACAUCCAUAGCAAAUAACUUUGCAUCCAAUAGAGCAUCAUUUAUCGACGCAUUACCUAAUAUAUUAGAUAAAUAGAAUAAGUGAUCCGCAUUGGAAGGUUUCUUGCUGGGUCGAAUGUUAAUUGUAAAGUUGAAUUCUUGGAGAAGUAACAUCCAUCAAGCAAUUCGUCCACUCAAUUGAGGUUUAUUUAUCAUGUACUUAAGUGCAUCAUGAUCAACGUGGAAUACAAAUGGAUAUCCAAGUAGAUAGUGGCAGAAUUUUUGUACAAAGUAAACCACUCUGAGGGCUUCUCAUUCGAUAGUAUUAUAAUUUCGUUCUAUAGCAACGAAUUGUCGGCUCGCAUAAUAUAUAGGAUGUUCUAAUCUUUUUUCAUCCUUUUGACUGAGAAUGGAUCCAAUAGCAACAUUGGACGCGUUCACAUAGACAUAAAACGGUUUUGUCCAACUAAGUGUUAUAAGAAUUGAGACAGAUAUCAAUUAUUAUUUCAAUUCGUCGAAUGCAAAAGUACAAUCUUCCGUCCAUAUUGGACUAGAUCUGUCUGACAUAGAUUUCCUUAACAAGUUGGUUAACUGUUGAUAGAUAACUCCAAAGGAUUCAAUAAAACACUGAUAGUAGUUAAUAUGGCUGAUAAAAUCGCCCACGCCCAUCAUCGUAUCUGGCUUUGGUAAACCCAAAAUACGAAUAACUUUAUUAGGGUCCAUAGCGAUACCUUCAACAGAGACAAUGUAUCCUAAUAGCUUCCCCGAUGGUAUGCCAAAUUGACACUUCUUUGAAUUUAGAGAUAUCCCAUAUUUGUCGCAUUAAUUCAAACAGUUAUCUGGACAUGCUAGAUAUUCAGCCAUUGUGCUAAAUGUGUAGAAAUUGUCCAGAAAUAUCUCUAUUGAUAAACAUAGAUAAUCUUAAAACGCUUGUGUCAUUACCCGUUGAAAAGUAGCCGAGGUAUUACAUAACUCAAAUGGCAUUACUUUAGAGGCGAAUGUACCAUAAUCUGUGGUAAAUGUAGUCUUCAACUGGUCCUCUUCAGUAAUUUUAAUUUGAUUAUAUCCCAAAAAUCCGUCUAAAAAUGAAUAACAUUCAUGUCCGACCACUGCGUCCAAAAUACAGUCUGUAAAUGGUAACGAAAAAUAGUCCUUCUUAAUAGGCGCAUUUAACUUCCAAAAAUCCUGACAUAUCUUGAUUUUUCCAUUCUUCUUUGGUACCAUCACAAUUGGUGACAUCCAUGCACUAUGCGGAAUAGGAUAAAUAAAAUCCACAUCGAGAAGUUUAUCUAAUUCCUCUUUCACUAAAAAAAAAUAUUUUAGAUUAAGCUGGUGUUAUUUUUGACGAACUCGCAUAAUACCCUCCUCCAAAAUAAUGCGAUGUUCAUACAUGUUGGCUAGAAUCCCUUUCAAAUCCGCAUACGACCACACAAAGGUAGAUUUGUGACAGAUAAAAAACUAUUUUUAAGCAUCCAAUUCUGUACCUAUAAUAUCAGUGUCGUAUUGUAAAAUCUUACAGUAUGUAAAAAUAAGUUAAAACAUAUUAUAUGUUGAUAAAUCUAGAUGUAUGUUAGAGUGGCUAGUAGAUUAAAUUAAAAGGAGUUGGAAUAAAAAACUUUACUUUGUUUCUUUAUUUCUUUUGAUUUUGACAUUAAAUAUAUAUAUAUAUAUAUAUAUAGGACCUAAAUGUUUAGUAUAAAGCCUUGGGAGAAGGUAGAAGCCUAAAGAUGAAGAUUUAAACUAAUAGGAGGUUAAUUGAGAGGGAUGAAACCAAAGCAUGGUUGGAUGAAGGUAGAAAUAAGGAUCUUCAUCCCCAUUGGUCGAAAUCCAUGUCCAAUGGACUUUUAGGAGGCUGCCCGCGACCUUGAUAAGGGUUUCGGCGACUUAAAAGAGGUCAUUAGGAAAUCAAAGGCAAGGGUUGUAAAGUUUAGGAUCUUGGCUACAAUUUUUGUGCAAAUUUUAUAGGGUUUGGAGUUAGGGUGAAUAAGUUAUAGCCGUUUGAAGUUAAGGUGUCAAUUUGAGACCUACUGUUACUCUAUUGAGUUUAAGAGGAGUCUUACGGAAGCUUUUGGAGAUCGGUAGGUGCGGCUGGAAGAGCAACUUCGAGACAUACAUUUUAUGUGAAGAAAAUUUUGCAUUUGGAGUUUAUGUGAAGGAGUUAUAGGGAGUUAAAGACAACGCAUUCAAAUCAAAGGCAGUAAGUGAGUGGUUUUGUUCAAAGUAGUGUUAGGAGCCAUAACUUGAGUUUUCGAACGAAAUUUUGGCUCAAACUUUGGAAGAAUGUAAACAUUUGUGUUAAGAAGCUAUCUAUAUAAGUUUCAUGGCAUUUGCACGUACGGUUUGUGAGAUAUGAAGAAAAUUGUGCGCGGGUAUAUAAAGAAUAGGGUUUGAAGCGAUUGUUAGGGUUUUGAGGAUAUCUCAAGAUCUGCGACGAAUUUGCAGUUGAAAUUUGUUGUACAAAUUAAUAAUAUCAUAUUAGUACUUCAUGUAAAUUUUGAUCUUGUUUGGACGGUUGGAUCAAGAGUUAUGAGCUGUUGAGGUUCGGGAGAAUUUCCACACAAGGAUAUACAAGGUUUUAGAGUACUUCUACCAUAAUUUGGAUGUUGUUGGUUAUUUAAGACUUAAGUAUUUGGUGUAAUUGUCCCAAAAGGAGAACUUAUGUAUAUAAAAUUAGGAUUUCCUUAUAUUAAGCUUGAUUGAGUAAUUAGUGACAGCCAAAAGUCCAACGCUUUCUUGAGGCAAAACCUCUCUAUCUCGACACCGGCAUAUAUUUUAACUAGUUGUAGCAUUUCAUUGCUGCCCAAGUUAAGGGAUUGACACACAGGGUCUUCAACAACCUCUAAUUUAAUUGUCUUCUCCUGAUUUGAAUAUCUAAUAUUAUUUGACAUAUGAAAACUAUCCAAUUCUGAUUCUAAUGUGCUGACUCUAUUGACUACGGGAUUGUUCAUCCAUUCGAUAAUAGCAUUUUUGGAGUUUGCUGCAUCCUCCAGAUGAAGUAAAUAUUCACCAAGACCUCAACAUUCGUAGACUCUUACCUUUGCUGUUGAAGUAUUUUUUCCUAUGCCAAAUUAGGAUGAAGCUAUAGCAUCGUCAUCUUCCUCCGUCGAUUGACUCUUGUUGUUCGAUGUAAAUUCUGAUUCUGGCAAUUGAGAUUCUCCAUGAUAUUGUACCGGAUACAUCUAUAGAACAAUCUUGUCAUGGCCUUUUUCAAUUAUCGAUGUGCCUCGGCCCCAAUCGUUCUUAGCUUUGGCUUGAUAAAGCCAAGGUCUGCCUAAUAAAAUGGGAUACGAUAACGUAGAAUUCUAUAAUCAAAAUAUAAUAUAAUCGAUUUUUUAUGUCAAUCCCGUAAUUAUAGUGGCAAUAUUACGUAAGAUUUCCAUUGGCUUUAUCCGACUAUGAUCUGCCAUUCGCAAGACCAAUGUUGUAGGUAGCAAUUACUUUAGAUCCAAGUCCUCCAUUUUAUCCGUGUUCAUUAAAUUCACACUGGAGCCACCAUCGACUUGUACCCUUGGAAUUAAAAUAUCAUCGAUUGAUACAUCGAUUGUUGGUGCUCCUGAAUCUAGGUUUAAGCUAACUUCAUGAAUUUCUUUUGUGCGAGAUCUUUGUCGUAUUAAUACUAAAUUUAAUGUAAAUCGACAUUCCGGUGCUACAGCCAAAAGUUGCUUCAUUGUAAUUGAAGGCUGAAUAAUAUCCAAAUCCUUCAGAAUGUCAUAGGAUUCCAUAUUGAGAGUAAUUUCCAAUACUCUUUAUCGUUUCAUUGGUUUCGAUUUUACUCCGUUUGGCAGCAAUUCUUUCUUGGUGAUUGAGAUUGUCACUUGUAAUUUUGCCAACUUUUCUACUACUAAAGGUUCUUUUAAUGUGUAAGAUCUUUUAUUGGACUGUACAAGUAUUGAUACUUAGUCAGUUUAAGAAAUUAGAAUAAUUCCUGUUUUAUUUAUUCGCUCGAUUUCCAUUCCAGCCAAACCUAUUAUUCAUUUGUACUUGAUUGACAUGCCACGAAGUUGGUUGGAUCAUUAUCUGGUUAUUGAAUUAUUGUUGUUUCUAUAAAUUCCAAUAGUUGGUAGUAAUAUGCUUGCCUCCGCAAAAGGUACAUUGUAUAGUCAUUUGGGGUGGUGAAAGAUAUUCUGUUAGUAAAUGACCUUGUUCCUUAUAAUUGUUGCACCAGACAUUGGGACGCAUAUUGGUUGGUUUAUGCAUCUUUUUCUUAUUUUUUGCUAAGUUGACACCCAGUUCCUCCAUUUUUUUUAUCAAAGUUAUCAAUAAAGCCUCAUUUGGAUCCUUUGGUCCAAUUUUACUUGAUAACUCUUUCACAAGUACUAUUUUUUGAUAUGGGGAGUAUAGAGAAUAUGGAACUGUAGAUGUUGGUGGUAUGUUCUAUAAUAGAACAGUAUUCACUACUCCUUGCAGAUUAACACUAAGGUUUGUACCAUAAUCCAGCAUUCUUAGAUAAUUGCUCUCAAUUUCACUCUAGCUUGGUAUUGGAUAACCUGCUUGAGUGAAAAUCAUUGUAGCUCUAGUGGUUAAGAAUUGAUCAUAGUAACAUUCUUCCUACACCUUUGCUCAUGCUAGUGAGGAAGCAAUAGUGGUUGGUUGGGCCUCCUUCACAAAUAACUUUAAUUCUAUUGGGUAAAGUUUGUUAACUAAUAUGGACAAAAUAAACAAAUUAGGCAUUUGGUUAUUUGGCCAUUUACUAAAAAUAUUUGCUACUCGGCCAUAAUAUAAUUGUACCACUUCUCUUGGUACCAUUUUGCUAUUCAUCAAUCUUUUCCUAAGUCGCUCUUCAAAUCCAAUUGGUCGAAAAUGGAUUCAAAAUGCCUCUAAAAGUAGGUAAUGGAGCCACGCUAGUUGUGCGAUCUCCCGCCGCACCCAUUUGGACUGCAAUUGGAAUUGUUAGUCCUCCUGACGCCAUUGAAUUUUCUGUUUCACUGAACUCCAUUUUAAAAUAAUCACUGCUUCUCCUUAUUCUGAUUUUUGGACUCUCAGUGCUCCUAGAUUUACUAUUAUUUUUUGCAAAUAGUUUUAUAGAUUGAAUUACAGGUGAAAAUGUCAGAUUUUGAUAUAUUUUGAAUUAGUCUUUAUUGGCAAGUGAAGGAGAUUAGGAAGAAAUUAAUUGUAUUCCGAACCAAUAAAAUACUAAGAAACACUACAAUGCUUCCUCCUAGUAACAAUACUCCUUCAUCAACUGAUAACAAUAAUAUGCAACCUUGCACUCUCAAAAGACCGCUCAAAACUCAAUAAAUUCUAUCCAACAACAGGAAUAAUAGACUUCACUCCAACCAAUUUGAAUUUACAGAAUUCCUAUAAUCAUAGACUUCCUCUGUCAAAACACACACAUACAACUCUCAAUAAAAAACAAUCAUAAUCUUCCAUCCAUAAUCAAUCUUCCAAUAAUUUUUUAUAUAAUUCAAUUACUCAGUACUCCAAUUACAUAAUCAAUAACUCAUAAAUCAAUCUCUGAUUUAUUCCACAGACUCACUUCUCAGUAUUCAGAAAUUAUCCAUUAUUCUUCAACAACAAAGAAAAUAAAAGAAACAAAGAGAAAGUACUAAGCUUAACUUUGGCUCAUGACUAUCACAGUUUGGCAUUUUCUUCCUCUCUCUCAUCCUCUUUAUACUACCCCGAGAUACCAACUCCUACACUAUGGAUGAUAACUACUUUUCAUGACUAUUCAUCCAUUCUACUUGUUGAACCACCUUU
RNAcentral lists this long non-coding RNA (34911 nucleotides) under Physcomitrium patens. RNAcentral describes it as "long non-coding RNA (PPAT_LNC011459)". The record is from RNAcentral. Lineage: Eukaryota; Viridiplantae; Streptophyta; Bryopsida; Funariales; Funariaceae.